This is an RNA transcript of Felis catus (domestic cat), 5355 nucleotides long. RefSeq lists it as uncharacterized. Lineage: Eukaryota; Metazoa; Chordata; Mammalia; Carnivora; Felidae. The transcript has 4 exons. The record is from RefSeq and is a predicted model, not a curated record.
GGCAGAGGAGGACCGGUGGGGUGGGCUGGGACAAAGCCCGCCUCUGUAGUGCCGGCGAGUGGGGCCCAGCACUGUUCACCUCCUCGCAGUUCAGCCGGGACUGCUGUCCUCACCCUGACGCAAGGAAAGAGAGGUUGUUUGACCCGGCCAGAGUCACACAGCUUCACAGAGGCCCGGCUGAGAGUGGACCCUGCACUCCUGCCCCGACCUCACUCCCUCGAGGGUCCUCUGCCCCGACCUCACUCCCUCAAGGGUCCUCUGCCCUGACCUCACGCCCUCGAGGGUCCUCUGCCCUGACCUCACGCCCUCGAGGGUCCUCUGUCCCGACCUCACGCCCUCGAGGGUCCUCUGUCCCGACCUCACGCCCUCGAGGGUCCUCUGCCCUGACCUCACGCCCUCGAGGGUCCUCUGCCCUGACCUCACGCCCUCGAGGGUCCUCUGCCCUGACCUCACGCCCUCGAGGGUCCUCUGUCCCGACCUCACGCCCUCGAGGGUCCUCUGCCCUGACCUCACGCCCUCGAGGGUCCUCUGUCCCGACCUCACGCCCUCGAGGGUCCUCUGUCCCGACCUCACGCCCUCGAGGGUCCUCUGCUGCCAGAUGAUCUGUUACUCAUCACCAUCUUGUUCCUCAGAUGAGGGUGAGAACCUUUGACGGGGCCCACGUCCUGCGAAGGGGACACGGGGAUUUCUCACGGAGGCAAGACCCGGAGCGUUUCAGCAUUCGCCGAGCAUAAUUAAAAAGCAGGAAGAGAAUGAAUAAAGCAAUGUCUUUCUUACGAUGUGCAGCCCAAAGUCACGGUGUGGCUCCAUAACAUCCUGCUACCUCCUGGAACGAUGCGCGUGCUCGCAAGGCAAAACUUCAAGUUGCUGACAGAACUCACUCUGACAUUCUGUGGUGGGAGCCGUGGACGGAAACCCAGGCCUGCCCCCGCUGCCACCUGGGAUCCGUGAGGGCGGUGGGCCGCAGGGUAAGGGUAGCGCCAUUUGGUGUGAAGGGAAGAGAAAACACAGUCAGGGGUGCUCUGGGGCCUGGCCUGCAAGAGAGCGGGGGCCGCCGGAGACUUUCCCAUCACCUCUCUGUGGUUGGUCUCCUCCUCCGACCCCCUGAGCACUUUCUUUACUUUCCAAAAAUGUAAACGGGGGCUUCCGGACGGGGAGGUCAUGGUCGGCUCUUGGUGUCUGUGCUUCUCUGGGUAAAGCUAACUGGACCGCCGUCCUCCCAGCACAGGGCACACCUGGAGUGGGUGGUGGGGGACACGGGCACAGGUCUCAGGACCGUCAGCAGAUGUGAAAGUGGGCCGGCUGCUGGACGACCUGAGGGACCGCGUUUAUCCGGUCCCCACGGGGGUCUGUGGUUGCCCGUGGCGCCAAACCCCGGAGGAAACCGGCCUCGUUCUUUAGAAAUGCCCGGUGAAGUACCGAGGGGUAAAAUGCCACGCUCUCUGUCAGUUGGCCAAAAUCCUCUGACCCAAACAGUAGAUGGAGCAAAUAUAACAAAAUGCCGAAUUGUUAAAUCGGCGGGUAAGUGCCUGGGUAUGUGCGAUUCUCUUCUCUCUACGUGUGUGUAUGUUGAAGAUCUUUCCCACUCACUUGUUGAUCCGAGCCAGUGCUCCGGGCCACCGCCCCGCCCAGGGUACAAGGGUGGGAGUCGAAACCUCCCGGGUCAGCUGAGGGUCCAGCCAGCCUUGACUGCUGGGCAGGUGUAAUCACUGAAAGAAAAUGACAAAGUUCCGAUGACCCCUCGUCCGCUGCCCCGAACCCAGACUGUCUCCUUCCCCUCACGGCCUUUCUCUGUAUCUCUGUCUGAAGUUUUUUCCCACGAGGGAAACUACAUCAAGCCCCUUUCUCUAACUUAGUUAACUGGACGUCAGGGGAAAAUGGGCACAGAAUCACUUCUGUGGCCACCAUCCCACAUAGCAAUUAUUCUCAUUGCGUUUCCUCUGGAAUUAGCAGUCCUGGGCAUUCGGGGGUGAGAUAUUCCGAGGCAGCUUUGUGUGGACUGAGCAGGUAUGAAGUCUCUUUGUAGCAGACUUCCUGGGCCGUGCCGUGCAUCUUUCCAGGAGCCCUGGUGUGCAGUGUGUGUGUGCGCGGUGUUUCCCGAGCCCCACUGACCACACAACCUUCCCCGCCCGCCUGCCUCUUAUCCUGCAGGACGCCACUGUCACCCUCAUCAUUUUUCUGCCUCUCUGUGACCCAUUUACUUUAGAGACGCUGCAAACCGUCUGGGGGGAGUAGACUUCAAAGUAAUGAUGCUUCCAGCCAUAACCUGAGGUAAAAGAGUGAGGCUCUGUGCCCGCUCCCCCAGCCCACAGACACCAGGCAGCCCUCCUUGAGGAGCAGGGAGGAGCCGGGAGGAGCUGGCCUGUCACUCACUCUGUGGCCCUCGCCCGGGAGCAGCCCGGACCCACAUCCCUCUGGGGCCGGAACGCCGAGGGGACGCGCUGGCCUUGGCACCUGCCUCCCCAUGGCGGUCAACACGCUGGGGUUUAUCUCCCGCUUCCCCAGCUCAGAAGUCGUCCACAUUCAGGAAGAGAGAGUGUGACCCCAUGGCGACCGGUCUGAGCCUUCUGGAAGCAUCUUCAGAAACAUCAGUUUCAGCGGGAGCCCUCCUCGAGACACCGGGUCUACGUCCUUGGCCCGCAGUCACCCCAUUGCUUUGCUGAGUCGUGGAUGAUGCAGCUGGGGACACGUUGUUGUGGAAAGUGACAACUGAAGCCAGACAACUCCCAAGUUAUAGCUCACACCCGAGGUAGGGCAGCAGCUGCCUUCACAGAACUCAAACCACCGCCUCCGCUCCACGCUCGUCCUCCUGCCCAGAGGGACAGAGUUCCUGCGGAACGAUCCGUAGCCCAAAAGCUAGCAGCUGGAAAAAACAAACAUGUCACAGGGGCCGCGGUUGGGAACGGGGGCGGUCUCGCCAGGUGGUCCGCUCAGGGUCCGGUGUGGUGGCCGUCCUGCUCUUGGCUGCAACGGUGGCCUCAUCCUUGGUGGGGAGCUGGGGGUCCACUUCCAGGCUCACUUGUGUGAGGUGGGCACGAGGGGCCAGCUUCUGUCUGGACGCCGCCGGAGCGUCUCCCAGUCCAGCCGUCCAAGAGAGGGCCCUUGGGGUAGAAACACGGGCUUACCGACCCCGCUCAGAGCUGGCGCCCCCCUCAGAGCCGCCACCUCCUGCUGCCCCCACGGGCCACGCUGUGUGAUGACAGCACAGCUGUGCGGGACGAGAAACCAGGAGGUGCCGUGGGGGCCCCGGGCGGCCGCGAUCAGCAGAGCCAGUGCAGCAAGGUGAGCCUCCUUCACUGUAAAGAAACAUUUGUGCUGCCUGUUGGGGUUCUAAUGCUGUGCUGCAUGUUGCAGCAGAAGUCACAUCUCCGGCAGGACCUUAACGAACACCCUGUUUAAUCUCCUUACUCUGCCGCACAAGGAACUGGCCUUCCGGAGACAGGCAGAAGCUUGCCCAGACAUAAAGAUACAGUCACUGGCCGCAGGGCUGUGAUCGGAAUGCGUGCUCUAAUUCAUGUCCAUCUCACCCCAAUGGUUACCAAGAAGAAAGCACAGCCUCUGCUUUUAAGAAUCUGAAAAUUUUCUUCGGAAGGCGAAUGCCGUUGGAAUGAGUGAAUGCAACAUGGUCUUAGUGUUUUCCAAAAGCUGUAGAGGGGAUUCUGCCCCACAGUGAAGGUAAGAAAAAGGCAGUGGGUGUCUUAGCAUGUGAGCAAAAUGUUUGGAGUAAAUCACUGAGGAAGCUUAUUCAGAAGCAGGAGAGACGUCCAAGCGUCUGUCACAGGUCUGCCUUGCCCUGGACAGAGCUCUGCUUCCCACUGUGUCCAGAGGGUGACCGAUGACAGGUAUUCAAUAGCAUGUUUGUCGGCAAAGAGUGUUCAUUUGAGUUAAUUUAGUGCCAGGGAAGCGGAAAGAAAUGACACAUCCCCGUGGGGAACAAUAAUUGAAACAGGGUAGAUUUCUUAUCAGUGUGGAGACCAGAGCACAUGGAAGAACAUGUUUAAAAUGUGAAACCAAAAGAGCCAUCAAGUCAGAGUCGUAUCAGCAAAAGCAUCCUUCAGAGACAAGGAAGAUGCAGACCCCCGGGACACACUCUCAUUGCCUGGUGCAAUGGGCUUGCUUUGGAAGAACUGUUAAGGGCCCUUCAGGCAGAAGGAGGUGACACCGGAGGGCGACUCAGACUCCAGAAGGAGGAACAAGAGAAGCGGUAGAUCCCCGAGUGAACGCGGCGGACUAUAUCUCCUCUUCACGCCUGAUUUUCCUGGCUCUGAUGUCUGUUCUGUGUGACAUCAACAGGGCUGUCCGAGGGUUUUCCGUGUAUGUGCGUGUGAUACACAUGAGGGCCACGUGUAAAGGGAGAGGGGUCUAUGUGGUGACAGGGCUUCAUGCCGUCUGCAAAUAGACAGUUUUACUUUUUCCUCACCAGCUUGGGUGGCUUUUAUCACUUUUUGUUGUCUGACUGCUGCGGCCGGGACUUCCGGUACCGUGCUGAAUGAAAGUGGUAAGAGUGGACAUCUGCGUCUUGUUCCUGACCUCAGGGGCAAAGCUCUCAGGUUCUCACCAUUGAGGAUGAUGUUAGCUGUGGGUUUUUCACAUGUGGCCUUUAUCACACGUUGCCUCUUCACCCACUUUGUUGAGGGUUCUUAUCACGAAUGGAUGUUGUACUUUGUCAAACACUUUCUCUGCAUCUACUGAAAUGAUCAUCUGGUUUUUAUCCUUUCUCUUGUUGAUGUGAUAUAUCAUGUUGAUUGUUUUGUGAAUACUGGGCCACCUUUGCAUCUCGGUAAUAAAUCCCACUUGAUUUUGGUAAAUUAUUUUUAAAGUUAUUGUUGGAUUUGGUUUGCUAGUAUUCUGUUGAAGAUUUUUGCAUCUGUGAUCACCAGAGAAAUUGGCUUGUAGUUCUCCUUUUCGUAGUGUCUUUAUCGGUUUUGGAAUCAGGGUCAUGCUGACCUCAUAGAAUGAGGUCAUAGAAGAAGGUCAUAGAAGAAGUUUUCCUUCUUCUUCUAAUUUUGGGAACGGUUUGAGAAGAAUGGGUAUUUACUCUUCUUUAAAGGUUUGGUAGAAUUCACCUCUGAGGCCUCUGGUCCUACACUUCCGUUUGUUGGGAGUUUUUUGAUUACUGAUUUAAUUUCAUGGCUGGUUAUCCAUCUCUUCAACUUUUCUAUUUCUUCCUGUGGCGAUGAGGUUCUACAUCCCACUUGCAGUAGUAAAAUGUCAAUUGUAAGUAGAUUGACAAGUAGAGUGAGAAGUUAAUAUCUAUGUUGUAAUCUGUAGAGAAACCACUAAAGAAACUGGGAAGAGAUAUAGCAAAAAAAAAAAAAAAGAAAGAAAAGAAAAGAAAAUUUAAUAAAAACAAAA